AUGUGGACCCGUCUUCGUCAGUGCUAUCAGCCCUCUGGUGAUGCCUUGUACCUUUCUGUGGUCCGUCAGGAGCAUGCUCUUCAGCAGGGUGACUCUACUGUUGAUUACUUCUAUGCACAGAGUUCUGCUAUCUAAUGCCAGCUUGAUUCUCUCCGCAGUGCUGGUUGUCGUACUUGCUGUUGCCAGGCUGUCCAGGCCAAUUUGGAGUUUCAUCGCGUCUACGAGUUCCUAUCUCGGCUCCGUAAGGAGUUUGAGCCCCGGCGUGCUCAGUUGUUUGCUCGUGGCCGUAUUUCUCUCAUGGAGGCACUUUCUGAGAUUCGUGCUGAGGAGACUCGCUUACGUGGUGCUGAUUUGCUGGAGGUUCCCUCUGUGCUCGCUACUCGGUCUUCUUCCACGCCACCUGCUGCACCGACCCCUUCUCGCUCGAGUGCUCCGCCGCUCUUGCCCACUCCUUCUGGAGGCUCAGGUCGCCCCCGUCCACAUUGCGAUUACUGCAACAAUGAUGGUCAUAUUGAGUCCCAGUGCUACACGAAGAGGAAACACCUGCGCAAGGCGCGAUCAUCAUCUUCAGGGACUUCGUCA
RNAcentral lists this ribosomal RNA (582 nucleotides) under Triticum aestivum (bread wheat). Its description in RNAcentral is "partial small subunit ribosomal RNA". The record is from RNAcentral. Lineage: Eukaryota; Viridiplantae; Streptophyta; Magnoliopsida; Poales; Poaceae.